UAGAAGGAUGGUUAAUUGAUCAGUGAUCUCCCUGCUUGACCUCCUGUUGUGAUCCGAUUGAUUCCAAUGAGGUUGAGUGCUGUGGAUCAACAAGCACGACUGUGAGUAGUGUUUGGUCUUGCAUUGUGAUGGCGUCUGAGUGUUGGCUUGGUCUCUGUUGGCUUGCUACAUAUCUAGAAAGCUCCAUGAUUUGUGCUAAGCUCAAAAUAUCAGUAGAUUUGUUGUGGUAGUGCCUUAACAGGAUUUGAGACUUCUCCAUUCAGGAAAAGACAAGUCCGGUAGAUACAAAAAUUACAAGAUCGCAAGU
Long non-coding RNA from Zingiber officinale, 307 nucleotides. RefSeq lists it as uncharacterized. NCBI's taxonomy places the organism in Eukaryota, Viridiplantae, Streptophyta, Magnoliopsida, Zingiberales, Zingiberaceae. The record is from RefSeq and is a predicted model, not a curated record. The transcript is spliced from 4 exons.